UAAUUCCCUUGGACCCAUGCUGCC
This 24-nucleotide non-coding RNA is filed under the name Rattus norvegicus (Norway rat). The record is from RNAcentral. Lineage: Eukaryota; Metazoa; Chordata; Mammalia; Rodentia; Muridae.